RNAcentral lists this ribosomal RNA (253 nucleotides) under uncultured bacterium. Its description in RNAcentral is "partial 16S ribosomal RNA". It matches the Rfam family "Bacterial small subunit ribosomal RNA", at positions 524 to 776 of the family's 1533-position model. The record is from RNAcentral.
GACGAAGGGGGCUAGCGUUGUUCGGAAUUACUGGGCGUAAAGCGAGUGUAGGUGGUUGUCCAAGUUGGAUGUGAAAGCCUUGAGCUCAACUCAAGAAAUGCAUUCAGGACUGGAUGGCUAGAGGACCGGAGAGGAUAGUGGAAUUCCCAGUGUAGUGGUGAAAUACGUAGAGAUUGGGAAGAGCACCAGUGGCGAAGGCGGCUAUCUGGACGGUUUCUGACACUAAGACUCGAAAGCGUGGGGAGCAAACAGG